RNAcentral lists this ribosomal RNA (497 nucleotides) under uncultured bacterium. RNAcentral describes it as "partial 16S ribosomal RNA". It matches the Rfam family "Bacterial small subunit ribosomal RNA", at positions 28 to 507 of the family's 1533-position model. The record is from RNAcentral.
GAUGAACGCUGGCGGCGUGCCUAAUACAUGCCAGUCGAGCGAACGUACGAGAAGAUCGCUUUCUUGCUGUUAGCGGCGGACAGUUGAGUAACAAGCGGAUAAGCUACCUAUAAGAAUGGGACAACUUAGGGAAACCUGAGCCAAUACCGGAGAAUAUAAUGAACCGUAAGGUUAAAUACUGAAAGAUAGCUUUGUAGUAACUGACUGUACUACCCGCGCUGCAUUAGCUAGUUGGUAAGGUAACGGCUUACCAAGGCAACGAUGCGUAGCCGAACUGAGAGGGUGAUCGGCCACACUGGAACUGAGACACGGUCCAGACUCCUACGGGAGGCAGCAGUAGGGAAUCUUCCGCAAUGGGCGAAAGCCUGACGGAGCAACGCCGCGUGGGUGAUGAAGGUCUUCGGAUCGUAAAACUCUGUUAUUAGGGAAGAACAUGUGUGUAAGUAACUGUUCACGUCUUGACGGUACCUAAUCAGAAAGCCACGGCUAACUACGUG